CAGUUUGAGCCUGCAGCAGACAUCGCUGUUGGAGGAAGUACCGGGAGCCGCCUGCAUCGCUGCCUGGAUGUUGUUGAGAAUGUCUGACCCUGGACAGACAGGAAUUUGAAGAUUUUUACAGUGCAGUGAAAAUACAGUCCUUGAGGCACUACAGACUCUUUCUGGCCAGUAUUCCAGUGUAACGAUGACGCUUCCAAAUGGACCAAGUGCGUUCAGCUCCUCCUGUUGGUGAACUCAAAGGCCAGCGGCCUGCUCUGCUUUGUGAAGCCCAGCUCUGCAGUGAAUCCACAGGAUCACCAACCGAAAUUUACCUUCUUCCCUCUUUGCUGAACUUGAUAAAUGUACACAUCAUCUACUGAAGCUCUACAAAAAGAAGACUGGACAUUUCUUUGAGAAGAUGGAAGAACUCCUGAGGGCAUAUGAAGGACGGGACCAGGACAACGUCUCUGCAGCAAGAAUGGCAGUCCUGGCUGGCCUUCCACUGUAGUUGGAGCAGGAUUCUUCAGACAUCUUCAAGACUUGCAAGGAUGAGUUGGGGGCCUUUCAGGAGGAAGCAGUGGCGUUGGCAGCAAUAGAGGACGGAGAUGAGGUGCCUGCAGGUGCUCCUUUCGAAACAUGCUGCAUAUCCGUCAUCCUUGAGGAUCAGGUUGUGAUAUCUCAGAGAUUUUGGCCAGAUUCUGUGUUGGUUUUAUUUGGAUUGAUCUAUGCUCUACAUCUGAGCUGUUCUGCGAAACCAAGUGCCUUCUUUGAGUUUAUUGUAAGCCCUCCUUCACUCGGCGAGGUCACAGGAAUGGGAGUAUUCAACUCAGGAAUGGGCCAAGGAUCAGAAUUCCAGGUAACCGCUCAUGGAGCCCAGGGUGACACUUCAACAUUGA
Long non-coding RNA from Salarias fasciatus (jewelled blenny), 875 nucleotides. RefSeq lists it as uncharacterized. Lineage: Eukaryota; Metazoa; Chordata; Actinopteri; Blenniiformes; Blenniidae. The transcript is spliced from 5 exons. The record is from RefSeq and is a predicted model, not a curated record.